CCCUACAAAUGGUAUCAGAGCCCAGUAAUUUAAAAAAUACAGCCGUAGUAGAUAUGUUUGAAUUUAUGUUUGAAUAUAGAUUAAAUUAAUUAUGAGAAGACCAUUUAGAAACAGAGAAACUUUUAGAAAAAUUAAAGAAUCUUUAAUUAGUAAUUAUUCAGAAUAUAUAAGUCUAAAUAAAAUAAAAGAAAACCCACAA
Molecule: long non-coding RNA, 199 nt
Filed under: Capsicum annuum
Lineage: Eukaryota; Viridiplantae; Streptophyta; Magnoliopsida; Solanales; Solanaceae
Description: long non-coding RNA (CANN_LNC011978)
Source: RNAcentral